UGAAGUCGAGUGUUCCUGACUUCGGCAAACACCGAAGUCGAGUGUUUCCGAUUUUGCCAUAUACGUUGCUUGUACUAUAAGCACCUAUAGCACCACGGUAUGACGAAAAAUGCGUUUGAAUGAUUAAUUCUUUUUUCAUCAAUACGCGUCGGAUUGAAUUCAAUUGAUUGACAAUGCAACCAACGCAUGGGUGCUCUUCGGUGCCUUCGCGAAAUUGAAAACACUCGGCUCCGGUAUUUAACGAAACUGAAAACACGCGGUCUCGGUGUAUGCCGAAGCUUGAAACACCAAUGCCGAAAAUAAAACAGCGCCACGAGCACCGUGGCUUCGGAUAUUGCGUUUCGUGUUUCUCUUUGUGCACUGGCACGCAAUGGCAUUCUCAAUACACGCGGUGACGGUGGUUAUAUGAAGCACGCAGUGCAGUGCAGUGUUUGGACAUGCCUGCCAAUAAGCCACCUGUCAACUUCCACUUUCGAAAGAAAUUGCAGGCGAGCUAUGAAAAAUAUAGUAUUAAAUUUAACACCAGACGUCUCUGCCGUUUACUAUUAUGACUUACUCUCAGCAAGUGCCAAGUCGUUCGAAAUUACUCUUCAAAGUGAAUGUUGAUGGAUGGCUUAUUGGCCGUUACCAAAAAACGCGUGAAUUCUAUACAUUCUAUAUAUUCACGUUUAAGUUCUGCCAAUACUUCCAUCGACGACACGACCUGCCACUCGUCUAUCGAAACUGUAUCGCAAAUUUAACUACCCCUCAGUAACUGGUAAUGUCAAAACGAAAUCGCCUGAAAAAUUUUUGAAACUGGCAACACAAGUUGAUAGAUUAUUGAUUUUAAAUAACAGUUGCCAUAACCAUGGUUACUGCGUAUUGGAGACUUGGGAAAUGUAAACAAAACAAACUGCCCCGAGUGAAACUAUCAUUCAGUUUAAUCGGAUAGAGGUCUUCGUUAGGGCUUGCUGGUGCUCGAACAUAUUAAAAAUGACUUCCAGACAAUUCAAUAUUCAUGGAUGUUUGAUAAAUAGUUCAACCGACGACACGACCAGACACUCUGAAUAAAUGUUGAAAUUAAAAGUGUUUCUUAACGGAUCACCAUCGGUUACCGAAUAUUGAAUGACCCCUUGUUAAUGAACAAAAAUAAUUUCUCGAGCAACACUGUUUUGGUUGCUAAACAAUGUAGUCGUCAUGUUACCGCAGCAAAACAAACAAACAGAUCCAUUGGUAUAUCAAUUAAAAUACGGAAUUUAUUUUAAUAAUUUCGCUAGAUUAAGAAGUAUUUAAAAUAAAUAACAGAAAAAAACGCUAAAAGGAAUGAAGAAUCAUUCGUCAAAUAGUUUGGAAUAAUUCUUGUAAUACUUAUUUGUCUUUACAACAAAACCAUAGUUUUCGUUGCAGCCUUAUUUGAAAAAGAAAAUAUUGGGGACAUAUCUACUUCCAUGUUUAACAUAUUGCUACAGUGUUCCUGAUAUUCAGGUACCAUGAUGGUUCUUGGUAUCAAUCGAAAAUUCACCAUGGAUAAUACUUUGGAGUUUUUGAAUUAAGGUUAGCUUGUUGGAUUCUCAUAAUAUGGAACGACAAAUUUCUCUGGAAGCAUUUUGUGGUCUGCUGUCCAAAACAACCCAUUCUGACAAUGAAAAUAUCAAAUCACCCCAGAUUAUCACGGCUUCUAAUGGCUUGUAGGGAAAGUUACAUCGCAGAUAUUAUUACGAUGAUGCCCACCAUCUGCCGCAUGGUAAUGUGGUAUGGCUUGACUGGAAAUACAAAUCUCAAAUAGAAAAUGGCACAACAGCUGCGACCGAAGGUGUAGAGGAUGUAGUUUCCUUUGGAAUACCAAAUCAUCAGACGAAAAUAAUAGUGCUAUGGAAAAUUGCAAUUUGGGGACAAUCGAAAAUCAUAAAUCAGUUGUAAAUAAAAUAUUUUGUGUGUGUUGUGAACCAAUACCAAUAAAAUCAAAUAUACUAUGUUCAAAUUAAUUAAUAAAUUGAAAAAUCCACAAGUUAUUUUGUCGUGAAUACGACUUACUUUACUAUGGGGUGCCUUUUCAAAAUUAGCCAUAUGGAAGAAUGGGCAGAACUUAAUCGUGAAUAUCUCGACUUGUAAUAACGGCAGCAACAUAAUUCUUUCACCAUUUCAUCAAAAAUAUGAUCAGGAAUUUAGGAUAAUAUUUUGAACAUUGUGAGAUAACCACAAACAACUCAAAAAUUAAAUUAUCUAAAACUUUGAAAACAACGCGGAAAACUCGGACGACAAUUUUGAGGUAGCCAGGCACAUAUCUUCAUCUGAAUGCGUAUAAAAGGGGAACCGUGGUCGAAAAUCGAUCAUUUCGACCGUCCCAGGACAAAAGGGCCUAACUGCAAAUGACAGUUUCUCUUUAUUUACUUUUUCUAUCACGAUUUAAAGAAC
Molecule: long non-coding RNA, 2394 nt
Organism: Malaya genurostris
Lineage: Eukaryota; Metazoa; Arthropoda; Insecta; Diptera; Culicidae
Exons: 3
Source: RefSeq, a predicted model, not a curated record